AGACAUGGACGACGUGUGUCAAAGUCCAGUAUCCGUCUUUAUUAGCUUAUUACCUGAUACGGGUUCUACUUAUACCCAAGAUAACAAAGUUAUUCUUAUGAGUUGGCAUAGUGCUUGUAGCCUGUUUCGACUCAGCCGCGGAUCGGCCUGGUAUUGCACUACGUUGGGGAUUGGCCCACGGUUC
Molecule: small nuclear RNA, 184 nt
Organism: Dermacentor albipictus
Lineage: Eukaryota; Metazoa; Arthropoda; Arachnida; Ixodida; Ixodidae
Product: U2 spliceosomal RNA
Source: RefSeq, a predicted model, not a curated record